UAAAAUUAGCAUGGCCCCUGUGCAAAGAUGACACACAAAUUCAUGAUGCAUGCCAUUAUUUA
RNAcentral lists this small nuclear RNA (62 nucleotides) under Carlito syrichta (Philippine tarsier). The record is from RNAcentral. Lineage: Eukaryota; Metazoa; Chordata; Mammalia; Primates; Tarsiidae.